GACGAACGCUGGCGGCGUGCCUAAUACAUGCAAGUAGAACGCUGAAGAGAGGAGCUUGCUCUUCUUGGAUGAGUUGCGAACGGGUGAGUAACGCGUAGGUAACCUGCCUGGUAGCGGGGGAUAACUAUUGGAAACGAUAGCUAAUACCGCAUAAAAUUGAUUAUUGCAUGAUAAUUAAUUGAAAGAUGCAAUUGCAUCACUACCAGAUGGACCUGCGUUGUAUUAGCUAGUUGGUGAGGUAACGGCUCACCAAGGCGACGAUACAUAGCCGACCUGAGAGGGUGAUCGGCCACACUGGGACUGAGACACGGCCCAGACUCCUACGGGAGGCAGCAGUAGGGAAUCUUCGGCAAUGGGGGGAACCCUGACCGAGCAACGCCGCGUGAGUGAAGAAGGUUUUCGGAUCGUAAAGCUCUGUUGUAAGAGAAGAACGGGUGUGAGAGUGGAAAGUUCACACUGUGACGGUAUCUUACCAGAAAGGGACGGCUAACUACGUGCCAGCAGCCGCGGUAAUACGUAGGUCCCGAGCGUUGUCCGGAUUUAUUGGGCGUAAAGCGAGCGCAGGCGGUUAGAUAAGUCUGAAGUUAAAGGCUGUGGCUUAACCAUAGUAUGCUUUGGAAACUGUUUAACUUGAGUGCAGAAGGGGAGAGUGGAAUUCCAUGUGUAGCGGUGAAAUGCGUAGAUAUAUGGAGGAACACCGGUGGCGAAAGCGGCUCUCUGGUCUGUAACUGACGCUGAGGCUCGAAAGCGUGGGGAGCAAACAGGAUUAGAUACCCUGGUAGUCCACGCCGUAAACGAUGAGUGCUAGGUGUUAGGCCCUUUCCGGGGCUUAGUGCCGCAGCUAACGCAUUAAGCACUCCGCCUGGGGAGUACGACCGCAAGGUUGAAACUCAAAGGAAUUGACGGGGGCCCGCACAAGCGGUGGAGCAUGUGGUUUAAUUCGGAGCAACGCGAAGAACCUACCAGGUCUUGACAUCCCUCUGACCGCUCUAGAGAUAGAGUUUUCCUUCGGGACAGAGGUGACAGGUGGUGCAUGGUUGUCGUCAGCUCGUGUCGUGAGAUGUUGGGUUAAGUCCCGCAACGAGCGCAACCCCUAUUGUUAGUUGCCAUCAUUCAGUUGGGCACUCUAGCGAGACUGCCGGUAAUAAACCGGAGGAAGGUGGGGAUGACGUCAAAUCAUCAUGCCCCUUAUGACCUGGGCUACACACGUGCUACAAUGGCUGGUACAACGAGUCGCAAGCCGGUGACGGCAAGCUAAUCUCUGAAAGCCAGUCUCAGUUCGGAUUGUAGGCUGCAACUCGCCUACAUGAAGUCGGAAUCGCUAGUAAUCGCGGAUCAGCACGCCGCGGUGAAUACGUUCCCGGGCCU
RNAcentral lists this ribosomal RNA (1368 nucleotides) under uncultured bacterium. RNAcentral describes it as "bacterial SSU rRNA". It matches the Rfam family "Bacterial small subunit ribosomal RNA", at positions 28 to 1381 of the family's 1533-position model. The record is from RNAcentral.